CAGUCGCCGCGGUAAUACGUAGGUGGCAAGCGUUGUCCGGAAUUAUUGGGCGUAAAGGGCUCGCGGGCGGUUUCUUAAGUCUGAUGUGAAAGCCCCCGACUCAACCGGGGAGGGUCAUUGGAAACUGGGAAACUUGAGUGCAGAAGAGGAGAGUGGAAUUCCACGUGUAGCGGUGAAAUGCGUAGAGAUGUGGAGGAACACCAGUGGCGAAGGCGACUCUCUGGUCUGUAACUGACGCUGAGGAGCGAAAGCGUGGGGAGCGAACAGGAUUAGAUACCCCCGUAGUCCCUGUCUCUUAUAA
Molecule: ribosomal RNA, 301 nt
Filed under: uncultured bacterium
Lineage: Bacteria
Description: partial 16S ribosomal RNA
Rfam family: Bacterial small subunit ribosomal RNA
Source: RNAcentral